UUGAAACAUUGUAAAGGGAAGUUGAGCUGGCUCUUCUAGAGCAAGUGCUCGCUUUCCUUUCAAUCUUCAUCCACCUGUGCACUUUUUGUAGAGAGUCUGAGAAAUGGGCCUUGUAAAAGAGGCCUUAAGUAUUGGGCUUUCUAUGUUUUUACACACUCUAAAUGUAUGUCUUUGAAUGUCUUUUAUUAAGGGACUUGAUUGACCCUUUUAAAAACAAUA
This 219-nucleotide unclassified non-coding RNA is filed under the name uncultured Marasmius. Its description in RNAcentral is "sequence contains ITS1". Lineage: Eukaryota; Fungi; Basidiomycota; Agaricomycetes; Agaricales; Tricholomataceae. The record is from RNAcentral.